UUUGAUCCUGGCUCAGGACGAACGCUGGCGGCGUGCCUAACACAUGCAAGUCGAACGGAAACAGCAUGAAGCUUGCUUUGAGCUGUUUUAGUGGCGGACGGGUGAGUAACGCGUGAGUAACCUGCCUUUCAGAGGGGGAUAACGUCUGGAAACGGACGCUAAUACCGCAUGACAUAUCGUGGUCGCAUGGCUGUGAUAUCAAAGGAGCAAUCCGCUGAAAGAUGGACUCGCGUCCGAUUAGCUAGUUGGUGAGAUAAAGGCCCACCAAGGCGACGAUCGGUAGCCGGACUGAGAGGUUGAACGGCCACAUUGGGACUGAGACACGGCCCAGACUCCUACGGGAGGCAGCAGUGGGGGAUAUUGCACAAUGGAGGAAACUCUGAUGCAGCAACGCCGCGUGAGGGAAGACGGUUUUCGGAUUGUAAACCUCUGUCCUUGGUGACGAAACAAAUGACGGUAGCCAAGGAGGAAGCUCCGGCUAACUACGUGCCAGCAGCCGCGGUAAUACGUAGGGAGCAAGCGUUGUCCGGAUUUACUGGGUGUAAAGGGUGCGUAGGCGGCACUGCAAGUCAGGCGUGAAAUAUAUGGGCUUAACCCAUAGACUGCGUUUGAAACUGUGGUGCUUGAGUGAAGUAGAGGUAGGCGGAAUUCCCGGUGUAGCGGUGAAAUGCGUAGAGAUCGGGAGGAACACCAGUGGCGAANGCGGCUUACUGGGCUUUAACUGACGCUGANGCACGAAAGCAUGGGUAGCAAACAGGAUUAGAUACCCUGGUAGUCCAUGCCGUAAACGAUGAUUACUAGGUGUGGGGGGGUCUGACCCCUUCCGUGNCGGAGUUAACACAAUAAGUAAUCCACCUGGGGGAGUACGGCCGCANGGUUGAAACUCAAAGGAAUUGANGGGGGNNNGCACAAGCAGUGGNNGUAUGUGGUUUAAUUCGAAGCAACGC
RNAcentral lists this ribosomal RNA (947 nucleotides) under bacterium enrichment culture clone ZZ_F10b. RNAcentral's name for it is "bacterial SSU rRNA". It matches the Rfam family "Bacterial small subunit ribosomal RNA", at positions 12 to 962 of the family's 1533-position model. The record is from RNAcentral.